UACGUAGGCAGCGAGCGUUGUUCGGAGUUACUGGGCGUAAAGCGUGCGUAGGCGGUGUCCUAAGUCUGGUGUGAAAUCUCCCGGCUCAACUGGGAGGGUGCGCUAGAAACUGGGGUGCUGGAGUGUGGGAGAGGUAAGCGGAAUUCCUGGUGUAGCGGUGAAAUGCGUAGAUAUCAGGAGGAACACCUGCGGUGUAGACGGCUUACUGGACCAUAACUGACGCUGAGGCACGAAAGCGUGGGGAGCAAAC
This 250-nucleotide ribosomal RNA is filed under the name uncultured bacterium. RNAcentral describes it as "partial 16S ribosomal RNA". It matches the Rfam family "Bacterial small subunit ribosomal RNA", at positions 524 to 773 of the family's 1533-position model. The record is from RNAcentral.